Molecule: RNA transcript, 1692 nt
Organism: Ricinus communis (castor bean)
Lineage: Eukaryota; Viridiplantae; Streptophyta; Magnoliopsida; Malpighiales; Euphorbiaceae
Gene name: 50S ribosomal protein L22
Exons: 9
Source: RefSeq, a predicted model, not a curated record
CUCGUCUAGUUUUGUUUUAGGCCUUUUCUUUUUUCUCUUUUACCCAAACAGGGUUUAAGCACACUCUGGCUGAACUAAAGCCGACUGGCUGCAUUUUUAUCUUUUUGUUUUUUUUUUGGCUUUGAUCAAAUUGUAGGGAUUUCACCGGUCAGUUUUUGAAGUCAUGGUGGGCUGGCAGAGACAUUUGCAGUUUUUACUUCGCCAGGUUGGGAAAAGAGUGGAGCAUAAUUACUCUGCUGUCUCCAACUUUUCAUCUUCUUCUUCCUGUGUGGAAUCAUCUCUAAAACCUGGCGAUUUACCGUGUUUACAUAGAUUAUGGAAAUCACCUUCUACCAACAUCUCGAGGUCUUUCUAUCAAUAUUUGCAACAGUCGGGUAUAUCAAGUUCAAGGAAGUUAUUAGCAGAUUCUUCUGAGCAGACACCCAUCCGAUCACCUUUGACUCCUGCAUUAACUCCACUAAGCAGUGGAAAAACUGAAGAAAAGAAGGCAAUCUGUAAACAAUCAAAAGUUCAAGCAGUACUUAAGAACAUAAAACAGAGUCCUAAGAAGGUCAACCUGGUUGCUGAACUAGUUCGCGGCAUGCGUGUUGAAGAUGCACUUUUGCAGUUGCAAGUAACAAUUAAGCGAGCUGCAAAAACUGUCUACCAGGUUAUUCACUCAGCUAGAGCAAAUGCAACUCAUAAUCAUGGGUUGGAUCCAGAUCGCCUCCUUGUUGCUGAGGCAUUUGUUGGAAAGGGAAAUUUCAAGAAGAGAAUUUCCUACCAUGCAAAGGGAAGAGCUGGAGUUAAAGUGAGAGCAGAAUGUCGACUGACUGUCGUAGUGAGGGAGAUAACCCCUGAAGAGGAGGCUAAGAUUGCCAGGCUAAGAGUGCACAAUUUCCGCAAGCGCACUAAGCAGGAGAAGAGGCUUGUGCCACACAAGCUUAUUGAGACCACUCCAAUUUGGAAUCGCAAAAAAGCCAAAGCUGCUGAUUAUGAGCCUGAUGGCAUGGCUGCAUGAGAUUGCCUUCUUUGCCAUGUUUCACAUUGUAAUACAAAGUUCCAUAGAGCUGUUUGGAACCCUAUUGCAUGAUUUUGCGUUUUAGUCAUGCGAUUUAGUUGAGAUAGUAUUGUAGAGUUGCAUAUGCCAAAGCGCUGGAAAGUGAGCAACCUUGUUUUAAUCUCAGCAACACUCUUUGCGAGGAUUGGAGUAGAAUCGUGGAUCAUACAUAUCAUUGUGGUGUUUGCUUGUGGCUGUUUCUAGUAUCUCACAUUAUUGGAUCGAAUAAGACAUGCAAAUCUUGAUCAAGAAAGUUAAAAAUUUGAUUAAAUAAGGACAGGCCAGGAGAAUUUCAUAAACAGCUUUGCCAGUUUUAUCAUCAUGACAAGCACAUCAUUGCAGUGCCAAUUCUUGGGAGAAGAGAUUUAAUAUCUAGAAUCAUGAAUAUGCCCCAAAUAGAAAUGAAAAAAGAGCAGGCAAACUUAUUUUGUUUUCCAGACGCCAGAGCACAUAACACAAUUGUCCUAAUAGUUGCUGAAGGUGUGGCCGUCGAGUAAAAAGAUUGUAAAAAUGCUUCAAAAGCUGCUCCAUCAAACUCAAUUACACAAUGUCCACUGGAAACAUACAAAUUGCCGACACAGAUAUAAUAGUACCAAAUCUCAAAUAGGUAAUAAUAAUUUAGUUUGGAAAAUCAGCACUUCUGCGUCUGAGAA